Molecule: long non-coding RNA, 1711 nt
Filed under: Helianthus annuus (common sunflower)
Lineage: Eukaryota; Viridiplantae; Streptophyta; Magnoliopsida; Asterales; Asteraceae
Description: hypothetical non coding rna
Source: RNAcentral
UAUGCAGAUGUUAUAUAUGCUUCUCCAUUUAAUAAAAAAAUAUUAAAAACCAUAUAUUGUUAAAUAAAAACCUGCAGUUGCGUAUUAGUUCAGUUUAUAUCAAACACAAUGUAGAGAGAAAAAUUUCGACAGUAAAAAAGAAAUCCAAGUAUCAGAAACAAAAAAACAAAUAAAGGUAGCAUACCUGAUACAUUCACCCUCAUUUGUAGCAACCACUAUUGGAGAAAAAGGCUGCAACAAAGAUGUUCUAGAUCAUACAUGAGUAAACCAUAACCAACAAUUUCAAGUAUAUUACCUCAGAUAUCCAAGUCAAGCCUUUCCUCUACACCAACACCUAUACCAUCCUAUCUUUUUUCAUGAAAGAUAUAGAGAAAGAGUUUGAGUUGUCUGCAUCACUUGAUAAUUUUAUAAUGGUUGUAUAUAAUAUUUUGUAAGACUUUACAAAUUUCAUAUUUAUUCAUUUGUAAAGGAGUUAUGCAUAUAAUAAAAAACAAUAGAAAAUCUAUCUCUUUUUUUAUAGCUGGUUGCAGUGAAAAAGGGCAAAAGCAUUAAAACUUAACACGAUCAAAAGGCAUCCUAUACCAUUUAAUUUAUCAUCUCUCUUCUCAAUUCCAUACCCUUUUCUCGAUGGGUAACAAAAGCUCCAAAUUUUAAAGGAAUUCAUAGUGCUCUUCUAAACCUAAACCAAAACAAAAGCUUCAAAUUUUAAACGAACUUACGAUCUGUUGGAAACCGCCGUGUGAGCGCCGUCGUUCAGUGGCGUUCAACUUCGACACAAUAGUAUUACCAUCGCUGAGUAGGAGAUGAUUACAAAAUCCUGUUCUACCAUGAGAGGAUUCAACGUCCAGGAUCAAAUCAAGAGCGUCUCAUAAUAGGGGACUUGGCUGCUCAAACCAGAGAUUAAACUCAUCUUGGAUGUAAUUAUCAUCAACUUCACAGAAAAACACGUUUCGGCGCAGGUUGCAAAACCAUGAUAUCCACGAUGUGUCCUCCUCAUCAGACCCACUAACAUCCGAUUCCUCACUAUCCAUUUCAUAUCAAAAUCUCACCUUUAAAUAAUCACUGACGCCGGAGACGAUGAAUAGGAAUGUGAGCGCAUCGAUCUGAUCAGGAUCAUCUUCGAUGUCAAUACAAGUGCUAUACCGGGGUUUGAUUGCAAGUCAGCUGAAUUUGGAUUUGGUUUAAGUGAGAGGGUUAAGCUAUGGAAAAGGUAAAAGAUGUCGAAGGUGGAGGAAUGCAGAUGGGGGUUGUUUGACUUGUGGGGUAAUUCUAAGGCUUAAGUACUGGCUCUACAAAUUCAAGCUCUUGGAAGUUAAAACUUACCACACCAUUGCAGAAUUCACCAGAAAUGUCAAGUUGGCUCUACGAAACCCUAGCCGCCGCCGGGUUUGGUGGUUGAUUUGACCCUAUCCACCACCGCCGGAAGUCGGGGAUCUGAAUAUCAUCAGCAACCCCUUACACCACGAAACCCUAGCCGCCGCCGGAUUUGGUGGUUGAUUUGACCCUAUCGCCGGAAGUGACAGCAGAACCGUAGGUUCGUUGGAAUACAGGCAGGCCAAGCAUGUGGAUGAAGAUGAUGCCAACGCCAAGCCACCCACUAACAACGGUGGUCGGCCUCCUUGUCUCCUUCCUCCAGUCUCUUUCCAUCUCUUGCUUUAUCCCCUAUUUCAUCUGAACUUCCUCUCUCUCUCUUGAGGAGUGAUUGUGUUUU